Erpetoichthys calabaricus (reedfish) is the source of this 775-nucleotide long non-coding RNA. RefSeq lists it as uncharacterized. The transcript has 3 exons. Lineage: Eukaryota; Metazoa; Chordata; Cladistia; Polypteriformes; Polypteridae. The record is from RefSeq and is a predicted model, not a curated record.
ACGUUCUCUGCUUAAUUAAAAUUCAUUUCAUGACGCUGCCCGAUUUGUUCUGCGCAUGUCUAAUGUUUUACGACAUACGUCAUUCGUCAGAUUUGACUUGUACUUGCGAGUCUUUUUUGUGUUGUCGUUUAUUUCCGUAUGUAAGUGCACUUGUUACUGGAAAAGGUGGAAACUUUUGAAUUUUAUAACGUCUUGGAAGAUGUGUCGCCUGAAAAAUUUAACUCCAGUCGAAUGAAGAGGGUGCGAAAUGAAAUGUGACGUGUGUCUGUGAACUUGAUAAUGGACAUGUACAGCUUUUUUUACAGUGAAGUAGAAGAGUCCGGUCGUGUUAUGGGGCAGCAGUUAAAGAGAAGGACGGAGAGAUGUGUGCCAUGUUGAAGUAGCGGCUGGUUCUCCUGCCCGCUCUUCUAGAAUCCUCCCAUCUAAACCUCUGCUCUGAUCUGCUGUGCCUUUGCCAAGUGAUCACGAGUUUAUUGCAAUGGUGCUCUCCCCGCGUCUCCACCGUCUGUUACAUCAACUCCAACUGCCUGUGAUGCUGGAGAGAAGAAAAGUUCACAAGAUGUCCUAAAAUGGAAUUGUGAUUGGACUGAGACAGCCACAAUUAUGUGUGCUGGGAUGUGCAGAGAGGGCUGUGCGGGCUUUGGCUUGGGACCCCCAGAGGUUUAUUAUUUACAGUAUCCUUGAAGACUGCAAGUUUGUCUUUGUCCCCAGCCAUUUGACCAGGCAGUGUAUUUAUUACAAAGGACAAGGACCCCUCCAUUUGCUUCUUAUUUAC